GGAAUAUUGGUCAAUGGGCGCAAGCCUGAACCAGCCAUGCCGCGUGCAGGAUGAAGCAUCUAUGGUGUGUAAACUGCUUUUAUACAGGAAGAAACACUCCCUCGUGAGGGAGCUUGACGGCACUGUAGGAAUAAGGAUCGGCUAACUCCGUGCCAGCAGCCGCGGUAAUACGGAGGAUCCAAGCGUUAUCCGGAAUCAUUGGGUUUAAAGGGUCCGUAGGCGGCCCUGUAAGUCAGUGGUGAAAUCUCCCCGCUCAACGGGGAAACGGCCAUUGAUACUGCAGGGCUUGAAUUAUUGGGAAGUAACUAGAAUAUGUAGUGUAGCGGUGAAAUGCUUAGAUAUUACAUGGAAUACCGAUUGCGAAGGCAGGUUACUACCAAUACAUUGACGCUGAUGGACGAAAGCGUGGGUAGCGAACAGGAUUAGAUACCCUAG
This 435-nucleotide ribosomal RNA is filed under the name uncultured Flavobacterium sp. RNAcentral describes it as "bacterial SSU rRNA". It matches the Rfam family "Bacterial small subunit ribosomal RNA", at positions 358 to 790 of the family's 1533-position model. The record is from RNAcentral. Lineage: Bacteria; Pseudomonadati; Bacteroidota; Flavobacteriia; Flavobacteriales; Flavobacteriaceae.